Molecule: long non-coding RNA, 4706 nt
Organism: Megalobrama amblycephala (Wuchang bream)
Lineage: Eukaryota; Metazoa; Chordata; Actinopteri; Cypriniformes; Xenocyprididae
Exons: 10
Source: RefSeq, a predicted model, not a curated record
CAUGGUAUGGCUGCUGUAUUUUGUAGUUUAUUUUGAUACACUUAAAAUUAAGGUAUUUGGUAUUUUAUUUUAAAAUACAUUUUGAUACAUUUUUGCCCAAGCAUCUUGUAUGUGCUCCAGUUUCACUUGAUGUUUACUGAUUUUUGGGGUUAAUAAUAGCCUAUACUGUACUAUAAACAAACGUGUGUCAGGUCACCUUAAUUUCUACAGUGCUUUACGGAUUGUUUCAAAGCAGAAAAUUACAGAAUCAACGAUGCAAACUUAAUUAAAUAUGAGAAAAAUUUAAUACAAUAGUAUUUAAUACAAUAUAAGACAGUAGUCACGUCACGUGACGUCAGUCUUCUGCAGGCGCAGUCUGUGUGCAUCGCGUCAUCAUGCGAGAGCGGGAAUCUCAAUAACCGUCGCUGAAUUUUCUCCUCAGAUUUCUAAAGAUGAAUUUUGACGAUAUAAUACUCAAAGUACAUGUUUUGAGUUGAUAUUCGGAACAACUUUUAUGUAUAUAUUCAUUUUUUUUUACAGUUUUAAAGUUUAAUAACUCGUUUUUAUUCAGAAGAUUAAGCAGACGAAAUUGUGGUCACGGCUGUUUUCACUUGAUGGAAAUCCACAAAUGUCAAAUUAAAUGAAGAAACGCUUUCUCCUGAGCUACACACAGCUAUUUUCACUUGAGGGAAAUCCACAAAUGUCAAAUUAAAGGAAGAAAUGUUUUCUCCUGAGCUACACACAGUUAAAUCUAUCAUCACGACACCAGUGGACACAGGUCGCGAUUUAACAUUACAAAGGAUCCUGUUGGGGAAUCCCUUUCUGCAGAUCCUGAUGCCCUCCAGCACACCGUUACAGCGCAGCUGGUGCAUGACCAGAGGAUUCUCCAUCGCCCCAGGAGUCUUAGUCUCAUUGGGGAUGAGGCAGCGCACAAAGUGAGGUGUCAACAGUGACUUUGUCACCAUCUCUGCUGGUGAUGGAGGCUUUGACGUACUCAACCUCAGGGUCGGGCACAAAGCACUCUUUCUUCAUGUCGAAGGGGCGAGUUUGGGCCUCCAGACGCUCCUUGUCUGACUUCCGCAGGAAGGAUGCGGCAGACCCAAACUCUGCCAUUUGUAGAUGCAAAACUUCUCACCUUGUGUUUGUCAAAACUCUGUUCCCUAAAUCUGCAAGAGCCGGUGUUACGCUAAGGACGAAACAAAAGAGUCAUUAGCGUUUGAGAUCACGGAUGUGAUUUUAGUUGUUACUUAUCAGAAAAAAUCCCUACACCUAAACUUGUAAUGGAUUUAUCUUAUUGUGUCAGCUUUUGGAAGAGGUUUUUGUGAGUUCCAGGAGAUCUUCCUUGGUCUUUCUGUUUGGAGGAUCUUUGGUUCUUACCUCAGGAUGUCCUGUGUGUUGUGUCACUCCAGAGUUGAUGCUACCUUUUUAAAGGGAGUCACUGAUCCCAAAAUGGUGGUUUGUCGUGGAUGCCCCACCCUGGUCCUGCUAAAUAAACCUUCAAAUGAUUGGAUGGCAUAGGAUGUUCAACGGCAGUUGACAUAUAUGGUGUGAUGUAACAAUAGGCUUUUGGGAGGAAGGACAAAAGAACACCCAUGUUGCUUAAAAGAUUCAUCCACACCAUCCUAAUCAGGAACUCCUUUUACAAUGUUGUCUCAGGUCAACAAGAACAACAGUUGUCUAUUUUGGAUCCCUUCCUCAAUGAGCAGGACACCUCUUGACAUCUGAGCAAUGUGAAUCUGUCAUGGUAUGUCACAAGAAUUUUUUUUGUAACAUGCUCAGCCUCUCCAUUGUUUUUUUUUUUUCUCAGAAAGACAAGCUUUGCAAGAGCUGACACAUGCAGUGUAUCCAAUGAAAAUUAAAGCUUGACAGAUUUUAAAAUUUGUUCAAGAGUUACUACUUAGGGAUGUUAUUCUCUUAUAUAAGACGUUAAUUAAUUUUUAUUUAUCUAAAAUACCUCUGUCAGCUCAAGAUCAAUCAGCCUUUUGUCAAAGUAAUGUCCGUACACUUUUUGUGAGAUAUCAUGUUUAACUUUUGCACACAUUAUAGAUGUUUUAAUAUGUCAUUGCUUGAGACUGUCAUAUCAGCCAAGUGAAACAGUAGCAUAAAAGAAGAUGUGACAAAUAAUUCAGGUCUGUCUAUAGAUUGAGGUGAUGGACAGCCAACAGCUGGUCUUCUUUGCAAGGUCGAGAUCAUCUACUGCUCAAUUGUCACGGCUUGUACCGCUGGACCUCAACCUCUUGCUCUUCUUGUUGACAUCCCAUUGUUUUCCCUCUAUCCUUGAGGACAAAGAUAACCAUACUGAAUUUUCUCAGCUUCUUUACAGUCGCUGCAGAGGGUCAGACAGCUGUAUACGGGGGCCUCUGCGGUGUGAGAGGCUGCAACAGCUGUUCAUUGUGCUGCAAAUGUUGUGGUGUGAAUUUUUGCAUGUAUCUUUUAUUAGGAACCUUGGGAUCUUUUAACGUAAGGAUUAAGAUCAACAUGUGAUCCUUUUAACAUCUUCAGUAUCGAAGUAAUGAUGUUACAACAUGCAUACUUAUGAGUUAUAUACAGUCCUGUUAUUUUAGUCAGUUGUCAGAGUCCUAAAAUACCACAUUCAUAGCACCCUUCUGUGAAGUUUGCUUGACCCAAUUGUCACGCUAAGCUUUGAAGGUCACGGUAAAGUGUUAUAUAGUAUAGGUUUCCUGAUUGUAACUUGCAGUCUCACUAAUUAUAAAUCAUAUAAACAUGCUAGACAUAAUACAAAGAUUUAAUCAUUAACAAGUGAAACUAAAGUAAAGCAAAAAUAAGGGGGGAAAGAAAAUAUGGCUGCAUGAUUUAGGGAAGAAAUCCAAUUGUUAUUUGUCUGAUAAAAUUUGUGAUUUAAUUUAAAAUACAAUUAAAUAUAAAUUCAAGUUUGUUGUGCUUGUUUGUAGGGCUGCAUAAUUUAGGCAAGAUUUUGUGAUUAUCAAUAUGUGCAUAAAAUAAUAUUACUGAAUAAAAAUUUCUAAAAAAAAAACAAACAAAAAAAACAAAACAAAAAAAACGAGUAUUUAAAAAAUAAUAUAAUAUUUUGUUCCACAAUACACUUGCAUAAUUACAACACUAAUACUGGUGGAUAAUGAACUGCUUGUGUGUAAGAAUAAUAAAAUCACAGUCUUUGCAAUUUGAUAAUUGCACUAAGCCAUAUCUUGAUUUUGGUUUUAUGUCAUGCACCAAAAAGUAAAUGUUCUUAACCUGCAUGAACUGCUGUUUCCAAUUUGUGUAUAUCAUCAGACAACAUCCUAUCAUCAUACCUGUGAAACCUGUCAAACUAGUCGCUUUUCUGCGAAAUUCACUGUUUUGAAUCAAAAUAUGUCAAUUAUGUGAAUCAUGUAGAUAUGAAAUCCAUAUCAUGUCACAUGUAAUUGAUCGAUCAGUGUUUUAACCAUAAAAAGGCGUCAUGUAAAAAUGUCACAUUUAUAAUAAAUAAAAUACUGUCACAUUUACCUCAGAAAAGCCACUCAAUGUCGAAAAACUAAAAAAUGAACUUAAAGAGGAACAUUUUGAUAAAUAUAUGCACUGUAGGCUAUUGCAUAUUGUAUUUGUAUUUAACAUGUGCUUCAAUAUUGAAUGUAUAAAUCCAUUUUAUGACACCCACAAUUUAAAUGUUUAGGCCUAUAUUUAAAUCACAAAUAUUGGCCCCUGACAACUAUUUAGUUCAUAAACGUCACCUUUUUCACCGCUUUUGAGUUUGCAGGUCUUGAAGGUCUUAACAUCAAACAGCCAGUUGGACCCAUCCAUCACUGUGAUGGGGGUCAGUGAUCAUUUCUGAUUAGCAUCUCAGAGUGUUGGGUCAAGAAGAUGUUUUCUCAAGCUGUCUUGCUAUGACGAAGUGGAACAUUCCGAUCCACACUCCUCCCUGAGACGGAGGUGGUUCAUUCUCAGCUGUUUAGGCCCUUUGUCGUCUCAGCUCACCAAAAGGUCAAUGACUUGACCCAUUGUACUUCAUGACCAUUGAGCAGGCUAUUAAUGGCAACCGAGGGGGUCUGUUUGCUUGAUUUACUUGGACAAGUGUUCACUAGACGUCCCGUGAUCCUUUGCUCCUUUGAUUGAGUUGCUUGUCAUUUGUUCAUUAUCCCUUGUUCGAGCCAGCUGUACGAUGAAGUGGGAGAAUCAGAGAAUACAGCCACACACAAACACUCUGCUCCCUGCAGGAGAAGGAGAACACAUCACUGAAGCACAGAUGAAGGACAGCUGCUCACCAUAACAUGAAAACGCACCAUACAUCUAUCAUAAACAUAUUACAUUAUUUUGUGCAUUGUAUUCAUAGUCUUCAGGAGUUGUAUGUUAUUAACACCGUGUGAGGAAAAGUUUCGUAUUCUGUAAUAAAAUCAUUAUGCUUCCAUUUUAACUUUCAAAAUUGGUGCGUCAAACACUACGGCACAGAUUUUGCGGCAGUGACGUCAAAAGUCAUUGGCUCCUUAUUGGCUGUCACUAGUAAUUUGCAUCAUACUGAAUUGGAGUUACUGGUAAUGGUUUGAGUGAGAUGCAGCGCGAUGCUUUGGAGGAUGGACAUGUGGAUCAGGGGAAUGUUUGCACCGAUUAACAACUUCAGUUUCAUUCUGUAACUCACACAAAUUAAAUUUUGCUGUCUGAGUUCUGGUAAUGUAGAACAUGAGUUGUUUGGCUAUUUUUUAUACUUCAUUUUGGCAUGUUUUAAAUAAAUUAUUGUGACUGUACAUUAUCUGCCUGUUACAUUUUGUACAUUG